This is a long non-coding RNA of Entelurus aequoreus (snake pipefish), 1835 nucleotides long. RefSeq lists it as uncharacterized. The transcript is spliced from 3 exons. NCBI's taxonomy places the organism in Eukaryota, Metazoa, Chordata, Actinopteri, Syngnathiformes, Syngnathidae. The record is from RefSeq and is a predicted model, not a curated record.
GGGCAGGAGACCAGGACUCUGGGAGAUUGCUUGAUUCUUGUGUCCUCCGGAGGAUGUUUGUUUGUCUGCAGGGACAGCUCAAUCCGACUUGCACUUUUGACUAUGGCGUCUAGACCGAACAGCUUUCACCUUUGCACCACGGGUUGAAGAGCAGAUGGAAGUCAAUCUUCUCGUUCUUCUCCGAAACGCGUCCAUCAGGAGUCAUCAGCAACACGUGCAGACGGUAAUGGCCGAUGACGGAGUCUGCCGGGCUGUGUAGAGUCAACAGCACGCCAUUGUGGUCUCCCUCCUGCGUGAAGCGCCAUCCCUCUUUGCUGCCGCGCUCCUUCUCAACUUUGAUCGCCUUCUCCCCUCGCUUGCCUGAAGACCCAAUGGGAACAGGUCUCUCCAGGUUGGCUGGUGUGUGUGUGUGUGUGUGUGUGUGUGUGAGUGACAGGAAGAAAAGCUCAGCAAGAGGUAAUUAAUACACACAUCUUUACACCUUACACAAAGAGAAGGAUUGUGAAGUUACUUCCUGGUCAAUCCAAAGUGCUGGCUUGCCAACGACCACACAGUUGAUCACAUUGGAUAAUCACAUCCACCAGGUGUAAAGACACGCAGGUGAUACAUUUAAAAAAUACAGCUUUCAAGUGGAUGCUACAGCUAUAUAGUUUUUUCCCAUUUGUAAUUUUUAUCUCCAGAUUUUUUUCCAAACCUUUUUAUUUGUCACAGGUUUGAAUUAGUACUGCAUGUCAUUGUUGACUACCGUGAUAUGUCACUUCAGUCUUUUUCAACCUUUUUUGAGCCAAGGCACAUUUUUUGCGUUGAAAAAAAUGCGGGGGCACACCACCAGCAGAAAUCAUUCAAAAACGAAACUCAGUUGACAGUAAAGAGCCAAUUGUUGGAUAUGACUUUAAACCAUAACCAAGCAUGCAUCACUAUAGCUCUUGUCUCAAAGUAGGUGUACUGUCACCACCUGUCACAUCACGCCAUGACUUAUUUUGAGUUUUUUGCGGUUUUCCUGCGUGUAGUGUUUUAGUUCUUGUCUUACGCUCCUAUUUUGGUGGCUUUUUCUCUUUUUUUGGUAUUUUCCUGUAGCAGUUUCAUGUCUUCCUGUGAGCGAUAUUUCCCGCAUUUCUUUGUUUUAGCAAUCAAGAAUAUUUCAGUUGUUUUUAUCCUUCUUUGUGGGGACAUUGUUGAUUGUGUAAGUCUUUGCUGUCGUCCAGCAUUCUGUUUUUGUUUACUUUGUAGCCAGUUCAGUUUUAGUUUAGUUCUGCAUAGCCUUCCCUAAGCUUCAAUGCCUUUUCUUAGGGGCACUCACCUUUUGUUUAUUUUUGGUUUAAGCAUUAGACACCUUUUUACCUGCACACUGCCUCCCGCUGUUUUUGACAUCUACAAAGCAAUUAGCUACCGGCUGCCACCUACUGAUAUGGAAGAGUAUUACACGGUUACUCUGCCGAGCUCAACAACAACACAUCAUUUUCAGACUGUAAUUACUGGUUUGCAAAAAAUAUUUUUAACCCAAAUAGCUGAAAUUAGAUAAUCUCCCACGGCACACCAGACUGUAUCUCACGCGCGGCACAGUGGUUGAAAAACACUGUGUUACUUUAGCCGACUGUGGUAAAAAUAAAUAUUUGCAGUUUGCAGCAUCAUUGUUGAGCAGUUCUUGAAAAGAUUACAGGAUAUUUUUACUUUCUCUUUAGGUCCUUACUUAUAGGCCCACUUCAAAGUAAACAGUGACAAUUGCUAUGGAUUUGCCAAUAUACCAGAAAAUACUAGAAUAAAAGGAUAUAAUUGGCUAAAUGUUUGCAUUAUAUGUAUGUAUUUUUGUUAGGGCUGACAAAAAUAAGUUACAA